RNAcentral lists this ribosomal RNA (496 nucleotides) under uncultured bacterium. RNAcentral describes it as "partial 16S ribosomal RNA". It matches the Rfam family "Bacterial small subunit ribosomal RNA", at positions 28 to 506 of the family's 1533-position model. The record is from RNAcentral.
GAUGAACGCUGGCGGCGUGCCUAAUACAUGCAAGUCGAGCGAACAGAUAAGGAGCUUGCUCCUUUGAAGUUAGCGGCGGACGGGUGAGUAACACGUGGGUAACCUACCUAUAAGACUGGGAUAACUUCGGGAAACCGGAGCUAAUACCGGAUAACAUUUAGAACCGCAUGGUUCUAAAGUGAAAGAUGGUUUUGCUAUCACUUAUAGAUGGACCCGCGCCGUAUUAGCUAGUUGGUAAGGUAACGGCUUACCAAGGCGACGAUACGUAGCCGACCUGAGAGGGUGAUCGGCCACACUGGAACUGAGACACGGUCCAGACUCCUACGGGAGGCAGCAGUAGGGAAUCUUCCGCAAUGGGCGAAAGCCUGACGGAGCAACGCCGCGUGAGUGAUGAAGGGUUUCGGCUCGUAAAACUCUGUUAUUAGGGAAGAACAAAUGUGUAAGUAACUGUGCACAUCUUGACGGUACCUAAUCAGAAAGCCACGGCUAACUACGU